GGUUCUUUGGUUCCAUUGGGACCCUAGAAUUUCAACACCCGUUAACCAUCACUUACAAGUAAUGAGUGAAAUUCCUUCGUCGCAUAGACCCUUAAGUAGGGAGAUGAGCCAAGGAAGAACAUCUUUUACUUAUGGGAGCCUUUUAUCCUAGCCCAAGACUUAGCUCAUGUUAAUGACCGUCGCGAUCUCUCUUAGGAACCCUAUUGAUUAUUAUUUAAGAUGUUUCU
Molecule: long non-coding RNA, 227 nt
Filed under: Ricinus communis (castor bean)
Lineage: Eukaryota; Viridiplantae; Streptophyta; Magnoliopsida; Malpighiales; Euphorbiaceae
Description: long non-coding RNA (RCOM_LNC000664)
Source: RNAcentral